UACGAAGGGGGCUAGCGUUGUUCGGAAUUACUGGGCGUAAAGGGCGCGUAGGCGGCGUCGUCAGUCAGGCGUGAAAGCCCCGGGCUUAACCUGGGAAUUGCGCUUGAUACUGCGAUGCUUGAGUUCCGGAGAGGUGGGUGGAAUUCCCAGUGUAGAGGUGAAAUUCGUAGAUAUUGGGAAGAACACCGGUGGCGAAGGCGGCCCACUGGACGGACACUGACGCUGAGGCGCGAAAGCGUGGGGAGCAAACAGG
This 253-nucleotide ribosomal RNA is filed under the name uncultured bacterium. Its description in RNAcentral is "partial 16S ribosomal RNA". It matches the Rfam family "Bacterial small subunit ribosomal RNA", at positions 524 to 776 of the family's 1533-position model. The record is from RNAcentral.